GGUUACCGCUUCAGAGGCAGCGAACCGGGGGAAGCUUCACGUUCACGGACGUCCUGCAGGGAAGAGAAGGGCAGGAAGGGAGCGCACACUAUCAGGACCACCCAUCACAGCAAUACGCAGCAAGUCAAGACUUUAUCCCACACACACAUCGACACUGUGACGAGGGGGUGGCAUCGCAGCCAGAUCAGCAUCCGGUGACCAACGAUCAACACGCUGCGCUGCGCCGUCCCACCGCUGCUACACAGAGACCCGAACAGCCGUCGAUAACCAGCGACGAGGACUCCGCGCCACACCCUCCCCCCGCCGCCACACAGAGACCCGGUAAGUGAUCAGAAAUAAAG
RNAcentral lists this long non-coding RNA (341 nucleotides) under Nothobranchius furzeri (turquoise killifish). Its description in RNAcentral is "lncRNA (ENSNFUG00015013395.1)". The record is from RNAcentral. Lineage: Eukaryota; Metazoa; Chordata; Actinopteri; Cyprinodontiformes; Nothobranchiidae.